CAAGAAACAAGUGUCUGUAUGCCCAGAUUAGCAUUAUGCUGAGAAAUCUUGCAUAUCUUUGCCUGAAGCUUUCAGAGUCAAAAUAUAGGCUCUGACUGAAAUGUGAGAUGUGUCUAGGAGUCCGGAUUCUCAUCGGAACUUGGUUGUCUGCAGAGCCCUCCCCUGGCAAAUGACCUAGAUAACAAUAUGAUAAGAUCAUUAUGUGAAUGUAAAUCGUGUGCAUGGAUCAAACACACUGAACUCUCUGGAGGGAAUUUGAUGUUCUGAACUUCUAAGAAGAUUUAAGUGCAAU
RNAcentral lists this long non-coding RNA (292 nucleotides) under Anas platyrhynchos platyrhynchos (common mallard). RNAcentral describes it as "lncRNA (ENSAPLG00000023387.1)". The record is from RNAcentral. Lineage: Eukaryota; Metazoa; Chordata; Aves; Anseriformes; Anatidae.